RNAcentral lists this long non-coding RNA (1760 nucleotides) under Homo sapiens (human). RNAcentral's name for it is "HSALNT0216270". Lineage: Eukaryota; Metazoa; Chordata; Mammalia; Primates; Hominidae. The record is from RNAcentral.
GGUAAUGGGCUGGUUCCAUCUGCCCCUCUGCUCUGGCGGCUCGAAGGUGGGGAGUGAAAUCCACAGUCCAUGGCUGGCAGCACACACAACUCCAAAACAGAGCCUGGGCCCACUGAGGCCGCCUCACUCCCAUGCACCGCCCCACGUGCAUCUCCAUAAGCAUCUCCUCGAAACCCUCUCUGCUGGUGUUGAGAGAGAUACACUGACGAUUCAUUCGGGAGUGUGUGUCUCAUUACCAUCACUCUGCUCCAUAUGCUAACUUUGGACCCCUGACCGAGAUGUUUCUUUAACAGGCGUAUGUCAGUAGUCUUGCCUUUAAAACCCAAAUAACGAAGGGCAAAAAUACCUGCCCCACCAAAGGCACAAGUCUCUUUCCCUGCUUGCCAAUCAAUCCUGUGAUGGGGAUGCCAGCGCAACACCUUCCACAGGGGCGGUCCCUUUCUGGACCGUCUGAGCGCAAAAUCGCAUCACCAGAACACAUCCAGAAGUCCCAAGACUCCCAAGUUCUACCUAGAAGCUCCUACUGCCAAGUGCUCUCCACUGCACCAUCGCCCCAGUAACAGUGUCCCUUUAGGAGCCCAGCAGCCCCAGGUUCAAGUGGGAUGAGAAGACAGUGAAAUUUAUGUGAUCUGAUGAUGAUAAGUGCUGUGGAGAAAAAUAAACCAGGGAGAGAAGAGAACGUGCUGGGGAGAAGGGGACUCUAGUGAUUUCAAUGUUGAAUAGGAUGGCCAAGAAAGGCCUCUUCCUCUGCUGGUGCUGGACAGCUGAGCAAGACAGAAGGACAGAAAGACAGCAAAUAUCAGGCUAAGAGGAUGUUUGGGGAAGUGUACCCCCACAGAGAACAACUUCAAGGACUCCGAGGCGGAGAGACACAGCCGAACCAGUGCCAGGGGAACAGACGGGCCCAUCAGACCCCAAAGCGAGCAUGCUGUCUCCCGUUCCACAGACACACAUCACCUGGCUCCGACGACCAGCCUGCAGGGCCACUCCCAAGCGUUCUAAGGAACAGGGCACCAGCCUGUCUCAGACCCCAGGCCAGUGUGGGAAGCACAGUCAUUUAACUUACAUGACUCUGGCUUAUUUGGAUUGGGUUUGACAAAAGAGGAAGAGAACAGAACACAUUUUUCUCCUGUCUUUCAAAUUAAGAAAGAAAUACCUAGAACAUUUAAUUAAAUAAAUACAAGAAUAAAAAUUAUGCAGUCCAGUUUCUGCACUAUAAGGUAUAUUUUUGUUUCAGAAAAAGUCUAGUUAAAAAAAAAAAUCUUAGUCAGUGCUCAAUGAUAAGUAAUGGAAUUCCCUGUUGGGCUUGAAUUCUCUCCAAUGUCAAUGGGGCCUUGAUCUGGAUGAGGAUGUUGAAAAAUACCCGGUCCCUCUGAGGGAUGGGGUUUCGGGGGUGGGCAGGGAGGCAGGAGUGGCAGAAGCACCAGGGGCCAUGCUCCAAGGAAAAGCCCAGCCAACACAGCAGGCCAGGGGGGUGGGGAUCCAGGCCAUGUGUGGCAUCUGUCUUGAUCGCAGCACAUGAGCUGGGAGGGGAAUUUGGUCUGGAGUUGUGAGCUGGGACUCAGGCUGUGGCUGUGAAGUCCCAAGCUAAAGGGCUUCGGCUGGGACCCUGACGCUUGCACUCCCCAGUCCCGCAGCACUGGUCUCAAGUGGAAUGUGCUGUCAGUGUAAACACACACAGGGUUCUAAAAAUGUGGUAUGAAAAAAAAUGUCAAUGAUCUCAUUUAUAGUUUUUACACUGGUUAUAUGCUGAAAUAAUA